RNAcentral lists this non-coding RNA (219 nucleotides) under Ignavibacteria bacterium. The record is from RNAcentral. Lineage: Bacteria; Pseudomonadati; Ignavibacteriota; Ignavibacteria.
UUACCGCCACAAAAUAAUGGCCGUCGCGCGCAGUUCUUGCGUGUGAGUUAAUAGGGAAUAAGGUGAAAAUCCUUAACAGUACCCGCUGCUGUAAAUCCCGUCCCGGUUUUAAUCGGGACAGAACCUCGGCAACUUGAACCACUGCCCCGAUAAAUCGGGGUGGGAAGGUCGCCGAAGGUCGGGAUAAGUCAGAAGCCCUGCCGUUAUUAAAAUAGUUCA